CUUGAUCAAUUGAUAGAUAAGAUCAGUGCAACCAUGUUUUGAAAUCAAUUAGACUCCAAUUUGCAAACUUAUUGACAGCUAUUAACUGAAUUCCACAGUUUAACUUUUAACUUUUAAAAUGAUUGUGUAAAGUGUUAGGGAUUAAUGUGUCUGAAUGAUUCUUAAAAAUAAUUAAUCUCAAAAUCAAAUAAUCUGGGCUUAUGUAAUUUCUUU
This 213-nucleotide long non-coding RNA is filed under the name Carica papaya (papaya). RNAcentral's name for it is "long non-coding RNA (CPAP_LNC007234)". The record is from RNAcentral. Lineage: Eukaryota; Viridiplantae; Streptophyta; Magnoliopsida; Brassicales; Caricaceae.